Molecule: transfer RNA, 86 nt
Filed under: Brucella ceti B1/94
Lineage: Bacteria; Pseudomonadati; Pseudomonadota; Alphaproteobacteria; Hyphomicrobiales; Brucellaceae
Description: tRNA-Ser
Source: RNAcentral
GAACCGGUUUAACCGGAAGGCGCUCCCCUGCUAAGGGAGUAGACCUCAAAAGGGUCUCGUGGGUUCGAAUCCCAUCCUCUCCGCCA